RNAcentral lists this ribosomal RNA (252 nucleotides) under uncultured bacterium. RNAcentral's name for it is "partial 16S ribosomal RNA". It matches the Rfam family "Bacterial small subunit ribosomal RNA", at positions 524 to 776 of the family's 1533-position model. The record is from RNAcentral.
UACGUAGGGUGCGAGCAUUAAUCGGAAUUACUGGGCGUAAAGCGUGCGCAGGCGGUUUUGUAAGACAGAUGUGAAAUCCCCGGGCUUAACCUGGGAACUGCGUUUGUGACUGCAAGGCUAGAGUACGGCAGAGGGGGUGGAAUUCCUGGUGUAGCAGUGAAAUGCGUAGAUAUCAGGAGGAACACCGAUGGCGAAGGCAGCCCCCUGGGCCUGUACUGACGCUCAUGCACGAAAGCGUGGGGAGCAAACAGG